CUAUGCGCCUUGCCCAGCCCGCUCAGGUGUGCCAGCCGCCGCGGUAAUACGGAGGAUGCGAGCGUUAUCCGGAUUUAUUGGGUUUAAAGGGUGCGUAGGCGGAUUUUAAGUCAGCGGUAAAAUGUCCGGGCUCAACCCGGGCCGGCCGUUGAAACUGGGGAUCUUGAGUGGGCGAGAAGUAUGCGGAAUGCGUGGUGUAGCGGUGAAAUGCAUAGAUAUCACGCAGAACUCCGAUUGCGAAGGCAGCAUACCGGCGCCCGACUGACGCUGAGGCACGAAAGCGUGGGGAUCGAACAGG
This 298-nucleotide ribosomal RNA is filed under the name uncultured bacterium. RNAcentral's name for it is "partial 16S ribosomal RNA". It matches the Rfam family "Bacterial small subunit ribosomal RNA", at positions 479 to 776 of the family's 1533-position model. The record is from RNAcentral.